This 500-nucleotide ribosomal RNA is filed under the name uncultured bacterium. Its description in RNAcentral is "bacterial SSU rRNA". It matches the Rfam family "Bacterial small subunit ribosomal RNA", at positions 19 to 518 of the family's 1533-position model. The record is from RNAcentral.
CUGGCUCAGGAUGAACGCUGGCGGCGUGCCUAAUACAUGCAAGUCGAGCGAGGACUUGAUGAUGGAAGAUCGUCUGAAAGAUCAAGGGAAAGCGGCGGACGGGUGAGUAACACGUAGGCAACCUGCCCUUAGCAGAGGGAUAGCCAUUGGAAACGAUGAUUAAAACCUCAUAAUGCUUUGGAGACACAUGUCUUUAAAGCCAAAGAUUUAUCGGCUAAGGAUGGGCCUGCGUCUGAUUAACUGGUUGGUGAGGUAACGGCUCACCCAAGGUGACGAUCAGUAGCCGACCUGAGAGGGUGAUCGGCCACAUUGGAACUGAGACACGGUCCAAACUUCUACGGAAGGCAGCAGUAAGGAAUCUUGCACAAUGGGGGAAACCCUGAUGCAGCAACGCCGCGUGAACGAAGAAGGCCUUCGGGUUGUAAAGUUCUGAUCUUGGGGAAGAAGGAAGUGACGGUACCCAAGGAGAAAGCCCCGGCUAACUACGUGCCAGCCGCAGC